GUGGGCUGAGGUAGUAGAUUGUAUAGUUCUGGGUCACACCCGCGCGGAGAUAACUAUACAGCCUACUGUCUUUCCUGC
RNAcentral lists this microRNA precursor (78 nucleotides) under Alligator mississippiensis (American alligator). Its description in RNAcentral is "let-7 microRNA precursor family". It matches the Rfam family "let-7 microRNA precursor family". Rfam says of the family: This family represents the microRNAs (miRNA) let-7 and mir-98. let-7 was identified from a study of developmental timing in C. elegans, and was later shown to be part of a much larger class of non-coding RNAs termed miRNAs. The extents of the hairpin precursors are not generally known and are estimated based on hairpin prediction. The products are thought to have regulatory roles through complementarity to mRNA. RNAcentral also lists the same sequence under 1 other name. Lineage: Eukaryota; Metazoa; Chordata; Crocodylia; Alligatoridae. The record is from Rfam by way of RNAcentral.